GCGGAGGUGGUGAAAUGGCAGACACGCAGCGUUCAGGGCGCUGUGGGGGUAACCUCAUGAGGGUUCAACUCCCUCCCUCCGCA
This 83-nucleotide transfer RNA is filed under the name Candidatus Omnitrophota bacterium. RNAcentral describes it as "Candidatus Omnitrophica bacterium tRNA-Leu". It matches the Rfam family "tRNA". Rfam says of the family: Transfer RNA (tRNA) molecules are approximately 80 nucleotides in length. The record is from RNAcentral. Lineage: Bacteria; Pseudomonadati; Candidatus Omnitrophota.